GGAUUGUGGCUCAGAGGAAGAGCGCUUGCCUUGCAUGCGUGAGACACUGGGUUCGAUCCACAGCACCA
This 68-nucleotide transfer RNA is filed under the name Marmota monax (woodchuck). Its description in RNAcentral is "tRNA.Ala". Lineage: Eukaryota; Metazoa; Chordata; Mammalia; Rodentia; Sciuridae. The record is from RNAcentral.